CCGCUCGGAUUCCGCCCGCCUUCCCCUCCCUGGGACCCGGGGUUUGCAGCAAGGAGGCCGGGGCGGGAGGGACGGCGUUGCAGGGAUGUGUGGCCUCUGUUUUCGCUCCCUCCUCCUCCAGGCUUCCAGCCCACAGCUUCCCGGGAAAGGCCGGGCCGGAUCCAGGAGGCAAGAAAUAAUACAAAUACCAGCAUUUCAGCGAACGGCUUCUUUUGUGAAACACUUCAGUCCUGGCACUUAGCGGGGGCUCUCUCGCCAGCAGCCCUUCCAUUUCACAGAUGAGGAAACCGAUGCUCAGAAAGGUGGCGUUUCUUGCUCAGGUAUUUCCAACACGCUUGAGAAAUCCAAUGUCGGGGAGGGGAAAGGAGGGGCGCAUUUGAGAAAAAAAUAGUAAGCAGCUCCAUUAUCUCUGACUCAAAGACGUGUGGAGGGCCCUGGACUCAGUUUCCCUUUUCCUAGAAGAUGUUACGAGAGGCCCCUGGAGGUCAGCACAGACUGAGUUGGAGAGACCCAGGCUUGAUUCCUGCCCCUCCCUCUGCUCUGGACAGCCUCGGUUUCCUCAUUUAUGAACUGGGCAGCUUCUGAGUGCCUCUGUCUACUAAGGUUGCAGGAGCAAACAUUGAUGAAAACCCCUUCGCCCGGGGCCUGGCCCUCCAGGGUGGUAGCCAGACGUGAAGCAUCACAAAGACUCCACCUCCAGCGUGCGGGACUCUUCCUGUCAUUUCGGUGCUGUUGCCGUUAGCUCUGCUCUCCGGGAGAUGCCACCAGCACGUCACCUGCCCAGGGUCACCCAGUGAACAAGAAACAGGAUCAGCAUUGAACACGGAGUCAGUCCAUUUGCUUCCGAAUUCUCCACAUGAGGACCAAGAAACUUGGAAGCACAGCUCUGACGAGACGCACAGCCCCGAAAAAGUUGGUAUCGAAGACGUUCUGCAUGGCAGCUAGGCUGAGCCCCUCCAAGGGCCCCACCAGGCCCACUCCAGCAUUAUUCACUAAGGGGGGGGGGUGAGGUUACAUUGAGGUCCCCCAAACCUUUCUAGUGCCACUCCUGUGGGGACACUCCCUGGAUCAUCCCAUCCCCUGCUCCAAAUUCAGGGCCAGGCCAGAGUAUCUCGAGUGGAAGAGUGUGGAGCCCUGGUGAUUUUUACAUAUAGUUUAACAUUUGUUAUAGGGACCCUGAACCCUGGGUGGGGGGGGGGGAAGGGCUGCUGGGAACAGCCUCCCCUUAAUACAUGAGCCGUUCAGCUCUGACCCCACAUUGCGUCAAAACAGCCACACCUGCCCUCCUUCAAAAGCCUCUGAGGGAACUUGUGUCGCUUCUUCAACAGAAGCUCUUUCCCCAAAAUGACUCAUCAGAGUAAUUUUUCCAACUGCAUAUGGUUUUCUCCAAAUGUGGGAAGUUCUAUUCAAUAAAAUCCAUCCUACACCCAGGA
Long non-coding RNA from Felis catus (domestic cat), 1433 nucleotides. RefSeq lists it as uncharacterized. The record is from RefSeq and is a predicted model, not a curated record. The transcript is spliced from 3 exons. Lineage: Eukaryota; Metazoa; Chordata; Mammalia; Carnivora; Felidae.